Molecule: ribosomal RNA, 388 nt
Filed under: uncultured bacterium
Lineage: Bacteria
Description: bacterial SSU rRNA
Rfam family: Bacterial small subunit ribosomal RNA
Source: RNAcentral
AUUGAACGCUGGCGGCAUGCUUUACACAUGCAAGUCGAACGGCAGCACGGGUGCUUGCACCUGGUGGCGAGUGGCGGACGGGUGAGUAAUGCAUCGGAACGUGUCCUAAAGUGGGGGAUAACGCAUCGAAAGAUGUGCUAAUACCGCAUAAUCUCUGAGGAGAAAAGUAGGGGAUCGAAAGACCUUAUGCUUUUGGAGCGGCCGAUGUCUGAUUAGCUAGUUGGUAAGGUAACGGCUUACCAAGGCGACGAUCAGUAGUUGGUCUGAGAGGACGACCAGCCACACUGGGACUGAGACACGGCCCAGACUCCUACGGGAGGCAGCAGUGGGGAAUUUUAGACAAUGGGCGCAAGCCUGAUCCAGCAAUGCCGCGUGAGUGAAGAAGGCC